Molecule: ribosomal RNA, 468 nt
Filed under: uncultured bacterium
Lineage: Bacteria
Description: partial 16S ribosomal RNA
Rfam family: Bacterial small subunit ribosomal RNA
Source: RNAcentral
GACGAACGCUGGCGGCGUGCUUAACACAUGCAAGUCGAACGGAAAGGCCCUGCUUUUGUGGGGUGCUCGAGUGGCGAACGGGUGAGUAACACGUGAGUAACCUGCCCUUGACUUUGGGAUAACUUCAGGAAACUGGGGCUAAUACCGGAUAGGAGCUCCUGCUGCAUGGUGGGGGUUGGAAAGUUUCGGCGGUUGGGGAUGGACUCGCGGCUUAUCAGCUUGUUGGUGGGGUAGUGGCUUACCAAGGCUUUGACGGGUAGCCGGCCUGAGAGGGUGAACGGCCACAUUGGGACUGAGGUACGGACCAGCCUGCUACGGGAGGCAGUAGUGGGGAAUAUUGCACAAUGAGCGGGAGCCUGAUGCAGAAACGCCGCGUGCGGGAUGAAGGCCAUCGGGUUGGAAACCGCUUUCGCCUGUGACGAAGCGUGAGUGACGGUAAUGGGUAAAGAAGCACCGGCUAACUACGUG